GCCCGGGUGGCUUAGCUGGACAUAGCGCCGCACUCAUAGGGUUCUGAGAUUUGGCGCUCAGGCCUUGGAAGCCUCCCAUGCGCCCGUGAGGCCCCGCCAGGCCUCGAACCUGGGACAUGCGGAGAUCGAGGGUUCGGAGCCCUCCCCGGGCA
RNAcentral lists this transfer RNA (152 nucleotides) under Haladaptatus litoreus. Its description in RNAcentral is "tRNA_Met_CAT". The record is from RNAcentral. Lineage: Archaea; Methanobacteriati; Methanobacteriota; Halobacteria; Halobacteriales; Haladaptataceae.